UAGGGAAUCUUGGACAAUGGGCGAAAGCCUGAUCCAGCGACGCCGCGUGGGGGACGAAGGCCCUCGGGUUGUAAACCCCUGUUGUUGGGAAAGAAGCCGGCCUUUCGGGGUUGGUGACGGUACCCAACGAGGAAGCCCCGGCUAACUACGUGCCAGCAGCCGCGGUAAGACGUAGGGGGCGAGCGUUAUCCGGAUUCACUGGGCGUAAAGGGCGCGCAGGCGGCUACGUAAGUCCGGCGUGAAAUCCCAUGGCUUAACUGUGGAACUGCGUCGGAUACUGCGUUGGCUUGAGGAUGGUAGAGGCCAUUAGAACUAGCGGUGUAGCGGUGAAAUGCGCAGAUAUCGCUAGGAAUGCCGGUGGCGAAGGCGGAUGGCUGGGCCACUCCUGACGCUGAGGCGCGAAAGCUAGGGGAGCGAACCG
This 421-nucleotide ribosomal RNA is filed under the name uncultured bacterium. RNAcentral's name for it is "bacterial SSU rRNA". It matches the Rfam family "Bacterial small subunit ribosomal RNA", at positions 355 to 775 of the family's 1533-position model. The record is from RNAcentral.